CUUCCACACUGUGGAAGCUUUGUUCUUUCACUCUUUGCAAUAAAUCUUGCUACUGCUCACUCUUUGGGUCCACGCUGCUUUUAUGAGCUGUAACACUCACCGCAAAGGUCUGCAGCUUCACUCCUGAAGCCAGCGAGACCACGAGCCCACCAGAAGGAAUGAACAACUCCAGAAGCGCUGCCUUAAGAGCUGUAACACUCACCUCAAAGGUCUGCAGCUUCACUCCUGAGCCAGCGAGACCACGAACCCACCAGAAGGAAGAAACUCCAAACACAUCCGAACAUCAGAAGGAACAAACUCCAGACACGCCACUUUAAGAGCUGUAACACUCACCGCGAGGGUCCACGGCUUCAUUCUUGAAGUCAGUGAGACCAAGAACCCACCAAUUCCGGACACAUUUUGGCAACCACGAAGGGACUUUUGCCUAUCACCAAGCAGUGAGACAAUUGCCGAGCGGUGAGACCAUCGCCUAUCGCCAAGCAUGCCACCCUGGUGACUUAUCUCACACUAUUUGAAAAAUCUCUAUACUUCUCAAGCAAGGUCAGAAAGCUGGUUGGAAACUUCUGGUCACCAUUGGGUCAAGCAUGUGUUGCUUCAGAGAAUCACUAAUGGCAUCUGAAGAAGGAGAAAAGACUGUAUUUCCUCCACCAGCAACGUUCCAUUUCAAGCCACAGGACUAUAAAGACAGAUGCCACAAAGUUCAUCUGUUAUUGAGUGACCACAGGAAAUGCCAGAGAUUCUGAGAAGCAAUUGAAAUUGAACCAUGUAACAGCCAACCUGACCCUCUUCACUCAUGCCCCUCAGGAUCCUGGGUGUAACAUCAAUUAAGACAAAUUAACAUAAAGAAAGUCGGACUGGAAGAAACACAAUUUCUUUCAAGAAAUACUAGCGGCCCCAUGUUGCGAUUCAGGCCAUUGAGAAAUAUUUCAAGUAUGACUCCGAGAAAAGCUUUCACAAAUAUUUUAUGAGCUUCAAAAUUAUAAGAAGUCACCAAGCCCCUUCUUUUCACUGCUACCAUUUUGCAAGGACAACAUCACAAGGGGAGUGGAGCAAGGAGAGCAAGUGCAAGGAGCUUGCUUCAUUCACUCGCUGACCUAGGAAGUCAGGAAUGCCAUCUUGUCCUGGUCCUGUAAGGUCUUUAUAAUCCUUGUCCAUCCAGGUACGAUGAAGAAGGCAGGCUACACUAGAAACUAAAUGUGGGAUUUUGCCCACUUUUCACGCAUCAAGCCUCUUUCGAAGGUUGUGCUCUAAAUGACCUCAUUCAAAGUAUAAGGAGAACAUGCAUUGGUGAAGAACAUGGGCUCUGCAGUCAGACUUCUUGGGCUGUGGCACUUACUAUCAGUGAGACGGUGGAUAAAUCUUAGUUUCUCUUAGUUUUGCUUUACUUAUUCAUGAAUUGAGGUUAAUAAAAGCACCAAACUAUAAGGUUACUGUGACAACAAAAUAACACAUAAAGCACAAUGCCUAGCAUAGGUAAAAACUAUUAUCCUGCCUUGCAGCACUUACCAGGUAUGAAUGAAAAAGAAAGCAAAAUUUGCAAGUUUCUGCCCCCUGUAACUGUAUUGCUAGCUCAUAUUAGGACGCUGGAUGAUUUAUAAUAUAAUUGAACACCAGAGGUAAAUGUUUCUUUACUCUCUGGGCUUCAGCAUCUCUAUCUGUAAAAUCAGGUGGUUGUAUUAAAUCUCUUACCUUCUCAAUUCCAACAAGAACUGUCUAGAAAUUGUUGAGCAAUUCCCCAGGGAUGCAAGCAAAUCCCCAAAGAUCCCCUCCUUGAGGCUGAGAUGGGGGCUGAUAUUAAAUUACAGCUGCACAAACAGCAACUUCAUCACAUGAGGUUUACCUAGCACUGUCUGUGUGUGUGUCUUUCAUUCCUUCACCUUUGUGUUAGGCGUACCUAUGCGCCAGAUCCUAAUGGAAGCAGUGAGAUGGCCAGGAUGCUGAGGUAAGUGAGAUGUGGCCCCUAGAACCAAGAAACUCACAGACCAGUAACAGAAUGAAGUCAGCAUAAAGACUGAAGGUGUAGGGCA
Molecule: long non-coding RNA, 2027 nt
Filed under: Homo sapiens (human)
Lineage: Eukaryota; Metazoa; Chordata; Mammalia; Primates; Hominidae
Description: HSALNT0174520
Source: RNAcentral